This 443-nucleotide ribosomal RNA is filed under the name uncultured bacterium. RNAcentral describes it as "partial 16S ribosomal RNA". It matches the Rfam family "Bacterial small subunit ribosomal RNA", at positions 338 to 795 of the family's 1533-position model. The record is from RNAcentral.
UCUACGGGAGGCAGCAGUGGGGAAUAUUGGGCAAUGGGCGCAAGCCUGAUCCAGCAACGCCGCGUGAAGGAAGAAGGCUUUCGGGUUGUAAACUUCUUUUCUCAGGGACGAAGAAAGUGACGGUACCUGAGGAAUAAGCCACGGCUAACUACGUGCCAGCAGCCGCGGUAAUACGUAGGUGGCAAGCGUUAUCCGGAUUUAUUGGGUGUAAAGGGUGUGUAGGCGGGAGCGCAAGUCAGAUGUGAAAACUCAGGGCUCAACCCUGAACCUGCAUUUGAAACUGUGUUUCUUGAGUACUGGAGAGGCAGACGGAAUUCCUAGUGUAGCGGUGAAAUGCGUAGAUAUUAGGAGGAACACCAGUGGCGAAGGCGGUCUGCUGGACAGCAACUGACGCUGAGGCGCGAAAGCGUGGGGAGCAAACAGGAUUAGAUACCCCUGUAGUC